UAAGGGGCGGACAGACGGCAGGAAGGGCCAGCAUGCCCCUACUGUUGCACCCCGCCU
RNAcentral lists this microRNA precursor (57 nucleotides) under Mus caroli (Ryukyu mouse). Its description in RNAcentral is "microRNA 7653 (MGP_CAROLIEiJ_G0007143.1)". Lineage: Eukaryota; Metazoa; Chordata; Mammalia; Rodentia; Muridae. The record is from RNAcentral.